UAAGUCUCUCCAAUAACAAUUGCAAUAUGCUACUACUUGUUGUAUAAUGCAUCUUUUUCUAAAAAAGUCUAGUUCUUUAGCAACACUUACUUCAUUAAUUGUUUGAAACAGCCUAACUUUUCGUUAACCAAACUAGUAUCAAGCAAUAUAUGAAUUUGAAGAUUUAUAAUGGUUGGUAAAUACCUUGUUUUGAUUACCUUUUUACCACUAUUGACUGAUAAUAGAAGUCAUUCUGUAUGAGAAUAUUUUAACCAAAAAUUCUCCAAUUAAUCAAAAAUGCUUUUUUUAAAAAAAAUGAUUAGUUGGGGGAAAGGGGGAGUUAGCCCCUCUCUUUUAAUAGCCCCUCUUUUUUGUCCAGUAUUAAUUUAUAGAACCUUUUUUAUACAGAAAAAAACUUUGUUUUGGGACUUUAGGAAACAGUA
Molecule: long non-coding RNA, 422 nt
Organism: Hydra vulgaris (swiftwater hydra)
Lineage: Eukaryota; Metazoa; Cnidaria; Hydrozoa; Anthoathecata; Hydridae
Source: RefSeq, a predicted model, not a curated record